ACCUCGGUAGCACAGUGGUUAGCGCAGUCUGCCGGAACAGAAAGACGCGGGUUCAAUUCCCGUCCGAUGUC
Molecule: non-coding RNA, 71 nt
Organism: Nippostrongylus brasiliensis
Lineage: Eukaryota; Metazoa; Nematoda; Chromadorea; Rhabditida; Heligmosomidae
Source: Rfam